RNAcentral lists this ribosomal RNA (253 nucleotides) under uncultured bacterium. RNAcentral describes it as "partial 16S ribosomal RNA". It matches the Rfam family "Bacterial small subunit ribosomal RNA", at positions 524 to 776 of the family's 1533-position model. The record is from RNAcentral.
UACGUAGGUGGCGAACGUUAUCCGGAGUGACUGGGCGUAAAGGGUCCGUAGGCGGGAGGGCAAGUCUGACGUGAAAGCGCCCGGCUCAACUGGGCGAGUGCGUUGGAAACUGUUUUUCUUGAAUCACGCAGAGGUCGGCGGAAUUCCCGGUGUAGUGGUGGAAUGCGUAGAGAUCGGGAGGAACCUCGAAAGCGAAGGCAGCCGACUGGGGGAUGAUUGACGCUGAGGGACGAAAGCGUGGGGAGCGAACAGG